UGAUGGGGGUAACAGUUGGAAACGACUGCUAAUACCGAAUACGCUCAUGAUGAACUUUGUGAGGAAAGGUGGCCUCUGCUUGCAAGCUAUCGCAUAGAGAUGAGUCCGCGUCCCAUUAGCUAGUUGGUGGGGUAACGGCCUACCAAGGCAACGAUGGGUAGCCGAUCUGAGAGGAUGAUCGGCCACACUGGAACUGAAACACGGUCCAG
This 209-nucleotide ribosomal RNA is filed under the name uncultured bacterium. RNAcentral's name for it is "partial 16S ribosomal RNA". It matches the Rfam family "Bacterial small subunit ribosomal RNA", at positions 135 to 334 of the family's 1533-position model. The record is from RNAcentral.